GAAUUUCAAAAUGCUUUCAAAUUGCUAUGAACAUGGUUUUUUAAGAAUAUUUAUAUGCACGGAAUUAUUUAAAGAGCAUGACCCAAAGGAUGAUGGCGACAACUGCUACGUAGAAAUGAUGAGCCUGUUCGCUUCAGCUUAUAAGCCGGCUGAAAAGCUGAAACGACUGAUUUGUUGUGAGAGGAAAACACUGUUUGGUGGCUGAUAAGCCGGCUGAAUAAGCUGAAGCGAACAGGCCGGAUAACUUGCCCAAGGCUAAAUAUGUCAGACUCUAUACAUGAGUUUGAUCAAUGCUUAAUUGGAAAUUCACCUUUACCAUUAUC
RNAcentral lists this long non-coding RNA (323 nucleotides) under Setaria viridis. Its description in RNAcentral is "long non-coding RNA (SVIR_LNC006139)". Lineage: Eukaryota; Viridiplantae; Streptophyta; Magnoliopsida; Poales; Poaceae. The record is from RNAcentral.